AUACUCCAAACUGGGGAUAGAUACCCCACUAUGCCUGGCCCUAAAUCUUGAUGUUCUACCCUACCUGAACAUCCGCCCGAGAACUACGAGCACAAACGCUUAAAACUCUAAGGACUUGGCGGUGCCCCAAACCCACCUAGAGGAGCCUGUUCUGUAAUCGAUGAUCCACGAUACUACCUGACCAUA
This 186-nucleotide ribosomal RNA is filed under the name Muscicapa striata (spotted flycatcher). RNAcentral describes it as "partial small subunit ribosomal RNA". The record is from RNAcentral. Lineage: Eukaryota; Metazoa; Chordata; Aves; Passeriformes; Muscicapidae.